Nycticebus coucang (slow loris) is the source of this 107-nucleotide small nuclear RNA. NCBI's taxonomy places the organism in Eukaryota, Metazoa, Chordata, Mammalia, Primates, Lorisidae. The record is from RefSeq and is a predicted model, not a curated record.
GUGCUUGCUUCGGCAGCACAUAUACUAAAGUUGGAAUGAUCCAAAGAAGAUUAGCAUGGUCUCCACACAAGGAUGACAUGUAAAUUUGUGAAGCAUUCCUUAUUUAA